GGUUAAGCGACUAAGCGUACACGGUGGAUGCCCUGGCAGUCAGAGGCGAUGAAGGACGUGCUAAUCUGCGAUAAGCGUCGGUAAGGUGAUAUGAACCGUUAUAACCGGCGAUUUCCGAAUGGGGAAACCCAGUGUGAUUCGUCACACUAUCAUUAACUGAAUCCAUAGGUUAAUGAGGCGAACCGGGGGAACUGAAACAUCUAAGUACCCCGAGGAAAAGAAAUCAACCGAGAUUCCCCCAGUAGCGGCGAGCGAACGGGGAGCAGCCCAGAGCCUGAAUCAGUGUGUGUGUUAGUGGAAGCGUCUGGAAAGGCGCGCGAUACAGGGUGACAGCCCCGUACACAAAAAUGCACAUGCUGUGAGCUCGAUGAGUAGGGCGGGACACGUGGUAUCCUGUCUGAAUAUGGGGGGACCAUCCUCCAAGGCUAAAUACUCCUGACUGACCGAUAGUGAACCAGUACCGUGAGGGAAAGGCGAAAAGAACCCCGGCGAGGGGAGUGAAAAAGAACCUGAAACCGUGUACGUACAAGCAGUGGGAGCACGCUUAGGCGUGUGACUGCGUACCUUUUGUAUAAUGGGUCAGCGACUUAUAUUCUGUAGCAAGGUUAACCGAAUAGGGGAGCCGAAGGGAAACCGAGUCUUAACUGGGCGUUAAGUUGCAGGGUAUAGACCCGAAACCCGGUGAUCUAGCCAUGGGCAGGUUGAAGGUUGGGUAACACUAACUGGAGGACCGAACCGACUAAUGUUGAAAAAUUAGCGGAUGACUUGUGGCUGGGGGUGAAAGGCCAAUCAAACCGGGAGAUAGCUGGUUCUCCCCGAAAGCUAUUUAGGUAGCGCCUCGUGAAUUCAUCUCCGGGGGUAGAGCACUGUUUCGGCAAGGGGGUCAUCCCGACUUACCAACCCGAUGCAAACUGCGAAUACCGGAGAAUGUUAUCACGGGAGACACACGGCGGGUGCUAACGUCCGUCGUGAAGAGGGAAACAACCCAGACCGCCAGCUAAGGUCCCAAAGUCAUGGUUAAGUGGGAAACGAUGUGGGAAGGCCCAGACAGCCAGGAUGUUGGCUUAGAAGCAGCCAUCAUUUAAAGAAAGCGUAAUAGCUCACUGGUCGAGUCGGCCUGCGCGGAAGAUGUAACGGGGCUAAACCAUGCACCGAAGCUGCGGCAGCGACGCUGAUGCGUUGUUGGGUAGGGGAGCGUUCUGUAAGCCUGCGAAGGUGUGCUGUGAGGCAUGCUGGAGGUAUCAGAAGUGCGAAUGCUGACAUAAGUAACGAUAAAGCGGGUGAAAAGCCCGCUCGCCGGAAGACCAAGGGUUCCUGUCCAACGUUAAUCGGGGCAGGGUGAGUCGACCCCUAAGGCGAGGCCGAAAGGCGUAGUCGAUGGGAAACAGGUUAAUAUUCCUGUACUUGGUGUUACUGCGAAGGGGGGACGGAGAAGGCUAUGUUGGCCGGGCGACGGUUGUCCCGGUUUAAGCGUGUAGGCUGGUUUUCCAGGCAAAUCCGGAAAAUCAAGGCUGAGGCGUGAUGACGAGGCACUACGGUGCUGAAGCAACAAAUGCCCUGCUUCCAGGAAAAGCCUCUAAGCAUCAGGUAACAUCAAAUCGUACCCCAAACCGACACAGGUGGUCAGGUAGAGAAUACCAAGGCGCUUGAGAGAACUCGGGUGAAGGAACUAGGCAAAAUGGUGCCGUAACUUCGGGAGAAGGCACGCUGAUAUGUAGGUGAGGUCCCUCGCGGAUGGAGCUGAAAUCAGUCGAAGAUACCAGCUGGCUGCAACUGUUUAUUAAAAACACAGCACUGUGCAAACACGAAAGUGGACGUAUACGGUGUGACGCCUGCCCGGUGCCGGAAGGUUAAUUGAUGGGGUUAGCGCAAGCGAAGCUCUUGAUCGAAGCCCCGGUAAACGGCGGCCGUAACUAUAACGGUCCUAAGGUAGCGAAAUUCCUUGUCGGGUAAGUUCCGACCUGCACGAAUGGCGUAAUGAUGGCCAGGCUGUCUCCACCCGAGACUCAGUGAAAUUGAACUCGCUGUGAAGAUGCAGUGUACCCGCGGCAAGACGGAAAGACCCCGUGAACCUUUACUAUAGCUUGACACUGAACAUUGAGCCUUGAUGUGUAGGAUAGGUGGGAGGCUUUGAAGUGUGGACGCCAGUCUGCAUGGAGCCGACCUUGAAAUACCACCCUUUAAUGUUUGAUGUUCUAACGUUGACCCGUAAUCCGGGUUGCGGACAGUGUCUGGUGGGUAGUUUGACUGGGGCGGUCUCCUCCUAAAGAGUAACGGAGGAGCACGAAGGUUGGCUAAUCCUGGUCGGACAUCAGGAGGUUAGUGCAAUGGCAUAAGCCAGCUUGACUGCGAGCGUGACGGCGCGAGCAGGUGCGAAAGCAGGUCAUAGUGAUCCGGUGGUUCUGAAUGGAAGGGCCAUCGCUCAACGGAUAAAAGGUACUCCGGGGAUAACAGGCUGAUACCGCCCAAGAGUUCAUAUCGACGGCGGUGUUUGGCACCUCGAUGUCGGCUCAUCACAUCCUGGGGCUGAAGUAGGUCCCAAGGGUAUGGCUGUUCGCCAUUUAAAGUGGUACGCGAGCUGGGUUUAGAACGUCGUGAGACAGUUCGGUCCCUAUCUGCCGUGGGCGCUGGAGAACUGAGGGGGGCUGCUCCUAGUACGAGAGGACCGGAGUGGACGCAUCACUGGUGUUCGGGUUGUCAUGCCAAUGGCACUGCCCGGUAGCUAAAUGCGGAAGAGAUAAGUGCUGAAAGCAUCUAAGCACGAAACUUGCCCCGAGAUGAGUUCUCCCUGACCCUUUAAGGGUCCUGAAGGAACGUUGAAGACGACGACGUUGAUAGGCCGGGUGUGUAAGCGCAGCGAUGCGUUGAGCUAACCGGUACUAAUGAACCGUGAGGCUUAACCUU
Molecule: ribosomal RNA, 2904 nt
Filed under: Escherichia coli
Lineage: Bacteria; Pseudomonadati; Pseudomonadota; Gammaproteobacteria; Enterobacterales; Enterobacteriaceae
Description: 23S ribosomal RNA
Rfam family: Bacterial large subunit ribosomal RNA
Source: RNAcentral